RNAcentral lists this ribosomal RNA (268 nucleotides) under uncultured bacterium. Its description in RNAcentral is "partial 16S ribosomal RNA". The record is from RNAcentral.
CUGCUGCCUCCCGUAGGAGUUUGGACCGUGUCUCAGUUCCAAUGUGGGGGACCUUCCUCUCAGAACCCCUACUGAUCGUCGCCCCGGUGGGCCGUUACCCCGCCGGCAAGCUAAUCAGACGCAUCCCCAUCCUUUACCGACCGAAGCCUUUGGUCAUGAAAAUAUGCAUCAACAUGACAACAUACGGUAUUAAUCCGCCUUUCGACGGGCUGUCCCAUAGUAAAGGGCAGGUUGGAUACGCGUUACUCACCCGUGCGCCGGUCGCCAU